ACCACCGAGCGGCGGGUA
Molecule: small nuclear RNA, 18 nt
Filed under: Arabidopsis thaliana (thale cress)
Lineage: Eukaryota; Viridiplantae; Streptophyta; Magnoliopsida; Brassicales; Brassicaceae
Description: snRNA_14178
Source: RNAcentral